RNAcentral lists this long non-coding RNA (807 nucleotides) under Zea mays. RNAcentral describes it as "drought responsive lncRNA". The record is from RNAcentral. Lineage: Eukaryota; Viridiplantae; Streptophyta; Magnoliopsida; Poales; Poaceae.
GGGAGGUCCUUGGUUGAUUUUGCUGCGAUGGCGGUCAGGCAAGAACCCUGCACUGGAGCUUCCUAUAAACUGUAGCGGGUUUUCUGAAGCUAGUGGAACUUUGUAAAGGCCUCGUAGUGGUGCCCUGCCUCGCUUCCUUGGUAGAGGUGUAUGGGGUCUGAUAAACUUCGUGGCAAAUGGGUAACACGACUUGUGGGUAAAGAUGCGCAACAUCUGCAGAGUGUAAAACUGGUAUACUAGCCGUGCUCACGGUCAUGAGCGGCUCGGACACUCACAUGAUUAAUUUAUGGAACUUAAACUUAAUUUGUCAUUUCAUUGCAUCUGGGAUUAUUUUACUAUUACUUUUAUUUAUUAUUUCUAAGGUUCGGUAUUUACUUACACUUAGUAAUUGCUAAUAAAAUUUUGACCAACUUAUAAAAGCAAUGCUCAGCUUCAGCCUUUAUUUCAUUGAUCAGCCUUACACUUCAUGAACUCCCACCUUUGGUGAGUUCAUGUCACAUUAUUCCCCACGACUUGUUGAGCUAUGAUCGUAUGUGAGCUCACUCUUGCUGUCUCACACCCCCCACAGGAGAAGAGCAGGUGGUCGAAGAGGAGCCGCCUAACACUGAGGCUUUCGACUUGAUCUAGGUGGCGUCUCCGAGUCAACUUUCUGGCGCCAAGGAUAGAUUUUAGACCCUGUUAUAUUUAUCUUUUAUUUUUGUAAGUCUUCCGCUAUGUAAUAAAUACUCUGAUUAUCAUGACAUUUAUCUCUAUACACUCUGUUAUUAUAUAUGUUGUCUUCUUUGGCGCAUGUAUGAGAUGCACCCG